RNAcentral lists this transfer RNA (57 nucleotides) under Aedes aegypti (yellow fever mosquito). It matches the Rfam family "tRNA", at positions 8 to 63 of the family's 71-position model. From Rfam's summary of the family: Transfer RNA (tRNA) molecules are approximately 80 nucleotides in length. Their secondary structure includes four short double-helical elements and three loops (D, anti-codon, and T loops). The record is from Rfam by way of RNAcentral. Lineage: Eukaryota; Metazoa; Arthropoda; Insecta; Diptera; Culicidae.
UAGCUUAGUUGGUAAAGCGCUCGUCUAGCAUACAAGAGUCCUGGAUUCAAAUCCCAG